Molecule: ribosomal RNA, 326 nt
Filed under: uncultured eukaryote
Lineage: Eukaryota
Description: partial 18S ribosomal RNA
Rfam family: Eukaryotic small subunit ribosomal RNA
Source: RNAcentral
CCCUUAGAUGUUCUGGGCUGCACGCGUGCUACAAUGGCGCUUGCAACAAGUCUUGCCAACCCGAUAGGGUGAGCGGAUCUUUGAAGAGGCGUCGUGAUCGGGACAGUUGAUUGCAAUUAUUCGACUCGAACGAGGAAUUCCUUGUAAUCGCGAUUCAUCAUAUCGCGCUGAAUACGUCCCUGCCCUUUGUACACACCGCCCGUCGCUGCCCGGAACUGAGCCGUUUCGAGAAGACUGGGGACUGCGAACUUUGGGCUGGAAAACAGCUUUUUGUUUGUGGAAACCACUUUAAUCGCAGCGGCUUGAACCGGGCAAAAGUCGUAACA